Molecule: ribosomal RNA, 483 nt
Filed under: uncultured bacterium
Lineage: Bacteria
Description: partial 16S ribosomal RNA
Rfam family: Bacterial small subunit ribosomal RNA
Source: RNAcentral
GACGAACGCUGGCGGCGUGCUUUACACAUGCAAGUCGAACGGUGAAGGUGGAGCUUGCUCCGCCGGAUCAGUGGCGAACGGGUGAGUAACACGUGGGCAACCUGCCCCUAACUUUGGGAUAACUACUCGAAAGAGUAGCUAAUACCGGAUAUGAAGUCUGUAGGCAUCUACGGGCUUGGAAAGUUUUUCGGUUAGGGAUGGGCCCGCGGCCUAUCAGCUUGUUGGUGAGGUAGUGGCUCACCAAGGCGACGACGGGUAGCCGGCCUGAGAGGGCGACCGGCCACACUGGGACUGAGACACGGCCCAGACUCCUACGGGAGGCAGCAGUGGGGAAUAUUGCGCAAUGGGCGAAAGCCUGACGCAGCAACGCCGCGUGCGGGAUGAAGGCCUUCGGGUUGUAAACCGCUUUCAGCAGGGAAGAAGCGAAAGUGACGGUACCUGCAGAAGAAGCUCCGGCUAACUACGUGCCAGCAGCCGCCGUAA